UACGGAGGUCUCAAGCGUUGUUCGGAUUCAUUGGGCGUAAAGGGUGCGUAGGCGGCGCGGUAAGUCGGGUGUGAAAUCUCGGAGCUUAACUCCGAAACUGCAUUCGAUACUGCCGUGCUUGAGGACUGGAGAGGAGACUGGAAUUUACGGUGUAGCGGUGAAAUGCGUAGAUAUCGUAAGGAAGACCAGUGGCGAAGGCGGGUCUCUGGACAGUUCCUGACGCUGAGGAGCGAAAGCGUGGGGAGCGAACAGG
Molecule: ribosomal RNA, 253 nt
Filed under: uncultured bacterium
Lineage: Bacteria
Description: partial 16S ribosomal RNA
Rfam family: Bacterial small subunit ribosomal RNA
Source: RNAcentral